AAAUUUCUUAGAACUCAUUUUAUUUCAGUGGCAUAAUUCGUGAUAUACAAGGUCAAAUUUAUUUUUAACUAGAAUUCAUUUCACAUUGAAGAAUACAUGAUGUGAUGAGAUGCGUUGAUGAGAUACAGAUGGUGGCAUGGAUCAACCCUCCACGACCAAAGCCUUAAAACAAGGAGACAUAGCCCUAAAACAAGAACCAAAAUAAUUUUAGCAGACCAGACAGAAAAUUUAUGAAAAUGACUCUGAGAUCUACUUUAAAACAUUCAAGACACAAAUCAAAGAACAUAGACAAAUCGGAUUGUAGAAGAACCACGAAAACCGGAUAAAUAUGAAAAGCUCCUUACGAAAAACCAUUAGAGGGCCUUGAUAAACUGCUCCGAAAACGGAGUCCCAAGGACAACAUUGACAUAUCCAAAUCUUAAGAUCUCUUUAUAUUGCUCCGGAGAAGCGGAGCCAACGAGACUGCAAGGAAAAGCCAGAACGAAGAUGCAAUAUAUUCUUCUCGAGAGAACAUAACAAGGAGCAAACUAGCGAUGGUGGAGACUUCUACAACUGAAGCGGAAAAGUACUGGUAGAUGAACCACCUCUGCAGAAAUGAAAACGGCCAGAUCUGCCACAAUAAAAAACCAAAAAAGUAGCCAGAUCCAGACUUGAAAGGCAUAAACGAUCUUUAAUUUGUGUCUACAAGCAGAAACCCGGAACCAAAACAGAGAAAAUACACGUCUACACCAAGUUAGAAACAACGACAAACCCCCUUCUUAAACACUAUCUCCUUUCCGAUUAGGUUAUCAAACUAAAGAGAUCUUUAGAUUUCGCCAUUAAUACAAGAAAAAGAUCCCCACCAUAGCAUGAGACAAAACUUAAGCUAGAAAUAUCUUAAAAGAACCACACCGAAAUGAUUUACAAACAUGAGAGCACUACCGGAGCUGAAGAUUUGAAAAUCUGAAAGGUUUUUGGUGAAGAGAGAAGAUGAAGAGUUUAGGGUAGAGAAAGAAGAUAAUGUUAAUUUUAGGGCUUAUUUGCAGAAUAGCCAUAUUUUAAACAUAGAUUA
Molecule: long non-coding RNA, 1051 nt
Filed under: Brassica napus (rape)
Lineage: Eukaryota; Viridiplantae; Streptophyta; Magnoliopsida; Brassicales; Brassicaceae
Description: long non-coding RNA (BNAP_LNC006583)
Source: RNAcentral